RNAcentral lists this ribosomal RNA (253 nucleotides) under uncultured bacterium. RNAcentral describes it as "partial 16S ribosomal RNA". It matches the Rfam family "Bacterial small subunit ribosomal RNA", at positions 524 to 776 of the family's 1533-position model. The record is from RNAcentral.
UACGUAGGUGGCAAGCGUUGUCCGGAUUUACUGGGCGUAAAGAGCGCGCAGGCGGUCGUCCAAGUCGCGUGUGAAAGCCCCCGGCUCAACUGGGGAGGGUCACGCGAUACUGGUCGACUCGAAGGCAGGAGAGGGUAGUGGAAUUCCCGGUGUAGUGGUGAAAUUCGUAGAUAUCAGGUGGAACACCAGUGGCGAAGGCGGCUUUCUGGACGGUAACUGACGCUGAGACGCGAAAGCGUGGGGAGCAAACAGG